Pelobates cultripes (western spadefoot toad) is the source of this 309-nucleotide non-coding RNA. The record is from the annotation of a GenBank genome assembly. Lineage: Eukaryota; Metazoa; Chordata; Amphibia; Anura; Pelobatidae.
UGGAUACUCUGGGUUGCCAGCAUCAGCCUGCGCGAUGAACGUGAUGCAUAAAUGUUACAGAGAACAUUUGUGUUUCUCUCUUUCGACAUCUCGUUGAGAUGAAGAAAACCGCUGUCGAUGGAAUCACUGAAAUAGAGGCACAUAUGUGAUGAUUAUAGUCACUACUGGAAGGCACUUUUUUAUAUUACAAAUGCUGGUUGCUUUUGCAUAUUACGGUUUUGUGUUCAUAUUUCUACUGCUGUGAAUCAUGACCACUUCUAUAUCAUGCAUUGCUAAUAGAAAGGGCAUUAGUGGUGUGAUACAUAGAUA